GACGAACGCUGGCGGCGUGCUUAACACAUGCAAGUCGAACGGUAAGGCCCUUCGGGGUACACGAGUGGCGAACGGGUGAGUAACACGUGGGUGAUCUACCCUGCACUUCGGGAUAAGCCUGGGAAACUGGGUCUAAUACCGGAUAGGACCACUGCCUGCAUGGGUGGUGGUGGAAAGCCUUUGCGGUGUGGGAUGGGCCCGCGGCCUAUCAGCUUGUUGGUGGGGUGAUGGCCUACCAAGGCGACGACGGGUAGCCGGCCUGAGAGGGUGACCGGCCACACUGGGACUGAGAUACGGCCCAGACUCCUACGGGAGGCAGCAGUGGGGAAUAUUGCGCAAUGGGCGAAAGCCUGACGCAGCAACGCCGCGUGCGGGAUGACGGCCUUCGGGUUGUAAACCGCUUUCAGCAGGGAAGAAGCCGCAAGGUGACGGUACCUGCAGAAGAAGCACCGGCUAACUACGUGCCAGCCGCCGCCGUAA
RNAcentral lists this ribosomal RNA (480 nucleotides) under uncultured bacterium. Its description in RNAcentral is "partial 16S ribosomal RNA". It matches the Rfam family "Bacterial small subunit ribosomal RNA", at positions 28 to 523 of the family's 1533-position model. The record is from RNAcentral.